UGAGUAACACGUAUCCAACCUGCCGUCUACUCUUGGACAGCCUUCUGAAAGGAAGAUUAAUACAAGAUGGCAUCAUGAGUCCGCAUGUUCACAUGAUUAAAGGUAUUCCGGUAGACGAUGGGGAUGCGUUCCAUUAGAUAGUAGGCGGGGUAACGGCCCACCUAGUCUUCGAUGGAUAGGGGUUCUGAGAGGAAGGUCCCCCACAUUGGAACUGAGACACGAUCCAA
RNAcentral lists this ribosomal RNA (227 nucleotides) under uncultured bacterium. RNAcentral's name for it is "partial 16S ribosomal RNA". It matches the Rfam family "Bacterial small subunit ribosomal RNA", at positions 107 to 334 of the family's 1533-position model. The record is from RNAcentral.